RNAcentral lists this long non-coding RNA (2347 nucleotides) under Rattus norvegicus (Norway rat). RNAcentral describes it as "long non-coding RNA NONRATT003276". The record is from RNAcentral. Lineage: Eukaryota; Metazoa; Chordata; Mammalia; Rodentia; Muridae.
AAUGCUUUUAAAUCUCACAAUUCCAAGGUUCAAGAGAGAAUGAAGUGUAAACUUUACAGUGUAAGCCUGCCUGGCUGCCUUCUUUUCAGGAGGGUGCGCCACCUUAACUGCUCUAUAAAAUGAGCUCACAUGGAGACUGCUACCUUCACAAUCACAGAUCUUGUCAGUGACUGUAAAAGAGAGGCCCAAACCAUCUACAUGGCAGUAUUUUACUUAACAUUUUCUAUAUCUAGCAUAGUAAUCCUAACAGUAAACCUAACAGUCAAAAACAAAGUCAGAUUUGAAUCCAUGGUGUGCCUAGGUUUUGUUUAAUUAGAUUGCGGUUGCUUAAACAGUCCUUUAGAAAUGAUUAUAUAAACUGACUCCAAAGAACAACAUCAGAAUAAAAACAAAGUACUGGUUUCACCCUAGAAAAAGAACCAUAAAGUCCACGUAGUUAUAAAAGUAUUACUGUCCAGUCCAUUUAAAGAUACCUACACUUGCCACGCAGCCAUGUAUAAUCUUUGACAAAGGACGGCUUUACACGUUCUUGGGACAAUAAUUAUGGCUGUUGGUUUAGUUCAAGAGCAUAGCAUUGACUUCCCAAAAGUGUUGGCCUUUUCACAGCCAGCAGUCUGCUAUAGAGACUAACGAAAGCCCCAUUCCAAGAAAUGGAGUCUUCUUUAAUUCUUUCCCACGGGGAAGAAUGGGUACCUAUCAAAUUAUAUGUGGUCAGGGUCACUGGUCAUAAAUAAAUAAAUAAAUAAAUAAAUACAGAGGGAACUGGGGAAAGGAUACUCAAGAAACUACAAUAUGCAGAACAAGGUUCAGUCCUGAGCCUGACUCUGUACCACAAGGUUUGGGUACAACAUAGAUGUACCCAGACCAGUUUUUCCUUUCAGCUCUGUGGCUUAUCUGGGAGGAAGGCUUAACUGCUUAACUGGAUCUGCCUCCCAAAAAAUCAACUACACAUGGAGAUCACCUAUUCUAGACGCUAUGCAUGCUAAGGACUUAGAGCGGCAGGCAACCUUUGACUUGGUGAUUACUCACUGAUCAAAAUGAAAACAAAAUAGUCAAUUUGUAGGAACUACUGGAACAGUAACAUUUACCAGUAUUGUUACCACAAUUCAUAUGGAGUCACCUUACUGUGAAAAUUACUUUCUGGUUUUAGCAUGCAGCAUAAAUGACCUUUCAUCCUGAGAACACCUUUUUACUGAGUGUUCACAAGAGAGAGAGAACUAAAGACAUAACAGCUCAUAGGUAUUUUUUUCUUUUUAGUAUUCCAGCAAACUUAAAAGUUGUAUACACUUCAAUACCAUCUCAUCAGAAAAACAAGAUUUAAAAGUUUUCACAGCCUUUUCAGUAAAGGGGAGGAAAAGAGGAAAUGUGUGUAUUUGCUACUUUGCAACUGCUUGCCACAUCAGUCUAAGUGCUUAUCAGGACACUUCGUGUUGUGCCUGAGGAGGUCAGAGAUGUUUACCCAGUACUAAUAUAUGCCUGAAGUGGUCAAUUAACACUCUCCAUAAAUGUUUUUCUAAAAGUAUGGUUUUAACUUUAAUGGCUACAACUAACCAACAUGCAAAAGUUCUCAGACUACACAGAAACUGAUCAUACAAUGCAUUGACCACCUUACUGCAUUUUAAAAGUCUUUAUUCUGUACUGAACUGUAUUCCCAAUCAGCCUAAGCAAAGGUAUGCCCUUAAUACAGGAUCUGCUUAGAGCAGAGGUGACAAAGACAGGAAGAAUCUGAAGACUGUCUGCAUGGCCACCUGGGAACAGAACAGGUUGAGUCACAAGUGACUGUCACAUAACUCACCCAGUGACAAGUGAGCUGCUCCCUUUCUAUCUAUCCAUUCAGGGCAUAAGUGCACAAAUGCACCUGCCCAGAGUUGAGUAAGAACCCUCUUUACAGGGCACUCUUCCAAACAAAUAAAUAUCUAAAUAAUGAAAGGGGCAAAUCAGAAAACUUGAAAACAGAAACUAAAACCGUCUUCAAACACAACAGACAAUGUUUAUGAUAAGUUCACUCCAAACACUUGCUAGUUUUUCUUGCAGUUUGUUCCUAAGGGUUUGAUUUUUUUUUAUUUUAUUUUAUUGGGCACAACAGGAACUAAAUUAUUAAUAAAAUAAAGGCGUGUUUAUUUUUAUCUUGCCGUGGAUAAUUUGUACAAAGUUUCCAAAUCUCUGAAACAGUGGGAUAUGGGUCUUGUACGGUGGGAGCAGGAUGUCAGGUGCUAAUGAGAAUAUCUCAAUGGUUUGUCUGCUAUGUGCUUUUUGUGAGUGCCCAUGCUGGGAAAAUGGUCUUGGUAACAUGAAGAUGCUGGUGCACUUUUCCUAGUACACAACUUCUUAAACAACCACAUGCGUU